UCGUGAGCCGUCUUAACCGGAGACGAUGGAGAUGAUGAACGCGGGAUUUUUUCGUUUCGUCCCGCAGCCGACGAAGUAGCAGACGAGCGUCUAUCCAUCCGUCGC
This 105-nucleotide small RNA is filed under the name Sinorhizobium medicae. Its description in RNAcentral is "Atu_At1". It matches the Rfam family "Rhizobiales sRNA Atu_At1". Lineage: Bacteria; Pseudomonadati; Pseudomonadota; Alphaproteobacteria; Hyphomicrobiales; Rhizobiaceae. The record is from RNAcentral.